This is a long non-coding RNA of Sinocyclocheilus grahami, 96 nucleotides long. RefSeq lists it as uncharacterized. The record is from RefSeq and is a predicted model, not a curated record. NCBI's taxonomy places the organism in Eukaryota, Metazoa, Chordata, Actinopteri, Cypriniformes, Cyprinidae. The transcript has 3 exons.
AGAGCUGCUCUACUUCUUGAUUCACUUACCUGCUAUUAUAAAGCAGCAGAUGUUGCUCCAAUCUCUUACAGCCGUGAACAAGAUCUUCCUGCUGCG